CGCCUAACACAUGCAAGUCGAACGAAGUAGCAAUACUUAGUGGCAGACGGGUGAGUAACAUGUGGGUAUCUACCCUUUGGCCUGGAAUAACACGAGGAAACUUGUGCUAAUACCGGAUAAGUCUUUACGGAGAAAGCUUUAUGCACCAUUGGAUGAGCCCGCACUUGAUUAGUUUGUUGGUGGGGUAAUGGCCUACCAAGACUGUGAUCAAUAGCUGAUUUGAGAGGAUGAUCAGCCACAUUGGGACUGAGACACGGCCCAAACUCCUACGGGAGGCAGCAGUGGGGAAUCUUGCACAAUGGAGGAAACUCUGAUGCAGCGAUGCCGCGUGAGUGAAGAAGGCCUUUGGGUUGUAAAGCUCUUUCGUCGGGGAAGAAAAUGACUGUACCCGAAUAAGA
This 398-nucleotide ribosomal RNA is filed under the name uncultured bacterium. RNAcentral describes it as "bacterial SSU rRNA". It matches the Rfam family "Bacterial small subunit ribosomal RNA", at positions 45 to 488 of the family's 1533-position model. The record is from RNAcentral.